UUCAUCGAGAUUGUCGGGAAACGUUUUACGUGUGAAGUAGAACAAUAACGCUCAUGUAUCCUAUAGCCUAUUGGCCGACACCCCACAGCAUUUUGAGACGGUGUAACAGUAGCGUGUCGAUUACUCGUGUGAUGGCAGAUAUAUGGACGUAGGCUACAAAACUCUUCCUAAAUGCACAAUGAAAAGAGUAAUUAGCUCGUUUGAAUCAUAUACAUAAACUAAACAAUAAGUUAAGCUAUUUGGCACCGCACCCUGACCAUAUCAAGAGAGGAACCCAAGUAAAUUGUGUUUGCCAGUGUCUGUUAUCUGCUACAGUUUUAUUUGUUAAAUGGGGCGUUUGUCGUUCAAACUGAAAUACAGCCUAGCCCAAAACAAGCUUACUUGGAAAUUUAAGUAGGCUACUUAAGGUUGUAAAGUCGGACCGGUAUUUUAUGACUUUAUGUAUAAUUGACUGCAAUUUGUGCGUGUUGAUGCUAUUCUUGAAACCAUUGCUGAGUUUGAUUUUGGGGUGAAUUAAGCGGUGUAUAAAGUCAAUGGCUGAGCCCUACAGGUACACAAUUGAGAAGUGGUCGCGCACGUGUACAGCAUUCGCGAUGAGAUGUUAGCAUACUGCUGAAAAAACAAAACUAGGCUACAUCGUGUAAAAGGUACGCGCAAAAGGGACGCCCCCUGCUGGAGAGAUCUCUCAUGUCAGCCGAGGGACAUGAUUCAGACUGGAGCAGAUCCUGCAGGCCCCACAAAAUGAGAUGCUGGCUGGGGGCACUACCUGUGAAGCGGGACAGUUUAAAUCAAGCAUCUGGGCCCAUGAGGAGUUCAUCUAUUGCUCAGCAGCCUGACCGAGUAUAAGAGUCAGGAGUUGACAGUUGUGAGAGUCGAGGAGUCUGCAGACUUUGACUCCAUCCUCUGGAGAUAUGUUAUAUUUAUAGGAGCUGUCCAUAUGUGUCAAAUAAAAGUCAGAACUUA
Molecule: long non-coding RNA, 963 nt
Organism: Anguilla rostrata (American eel)
Lineage: Eukaryota; Metazoa; Chordata; Actinopteri; Anguilliformes; Anguillidae
Exons: 3
Source: RefSeq, a predicted model, not a curated record